CUGUUUUUCCUCUUACUGGUUUUACAAAAAUUCAUCAGGUUUUUUUUUUUUUUUUACUUGCCUGAGCUUGACCUCACAUGCCACAUUCAUGCAUGUGGGAUAUCACAGUUGUCCUCUUUCUUUUGCUGUUGCCGUGAUAAGAUGCCCAGACAAAAGCAAAUUCAGGGAGAAAGGAUUUCUCAAGGCAUUGGGAGCUUGAAGCAGCUGGCCACAUUCUGUUCAUAGGAGGAAGAGGAGGGCAAUGAGUGUAUGCACACAACUGUUCAGCCUGCUUCCUUCCUGUUACUCUGUCCUGGAUCCCUACCUAGGGAACCUUAAUUAAUGUAAUCAAAACCAUCCCCCACCAUCACAAAAGAUAACCCUUCACAAGCAUGCGCAGGAACUAUCUCAGAGGUGAUUUUUAGGUUAUGUCACGUUUACAAAACUAUCACAACUAUAUUGGCUGUAGUUCGGACUCAACAUUUGGCCUUUAUAGACAGUACUCAGGCUGAGCUGGCAGAACAGACGCAGUGGCUCCAGAAACUCACCAAGGCCUCGAGUCUUUGAAAUUUGGGGGUGUGUGUGGUAUACACCUGUAAUCUCAGAUUUCUGAAAGCAGAAGCAUGAGGAUUACCCAUGAGCUUAAAGCCAGAUUGGUCUAUGUGAGCCUGGUCUACAUAGUGGUGGCCAGCUAGGACUGUAUAGUAAGACCUUAUCAACAACAGAAGGGACACUUCUGAGUAGGUCUUAGAUAUAAGGCAGGUGAGUUUGAUGCAGGUACAUGAGAAAUGAUGUAAGAAGAAGGUGAUGGGACCCACAACCUUUCAGUUAGAUUUGCUUGAUGUAGUCAUAACAUAUCUAUGUCCAAAGGAAGCAAAAAGAAGGGGCCGAGAGAGAUACUUGCAUAUCCAUUUUCAUAGCAUUAUUAGAAAUAGCAGAAAGUUAGAAGCCACCCAAAUAUCCAUGGAUGAAUGAGAGGUGUAUACAUUCAGUAAAAUAUUAGGCAUUUAGAGGGAAGGAAAUCGUGACACCAUCCACCAUGGGUGAACCUUGAAGGUACUAUGCUAAGUGAGGGCAGCUACAACUGAACAGAUGUUAUGUUAUUCACUCACUUAAGGAUCCUAGAAAAAGUUACUGUUACCAGCGUCUAGAGCAGAGGAAUUUAUACUUACAGAAUACAAAGUGUCAUUUGGGGAGGUCGAAGCAAUUCCAGCAGUGGAUGGUGAUGAUUGUCCAACACGAAUGUACUUAAUGCCCAAAGGACUAGCUACAUAAAGUGGUAAAUCUUCUUUUUCUCAACAAUAAACAUUUACGGUGACGAUG
Molecule: long non-coding RNA, 1302 nt
Organism: Rattus rattus (black rat)
Lineage: Eukaryota; Metazoa; Chordata; Mammalia; Rodentia; Muridae
Exons: 2
Source: RefSeq, a predicted model, not a curated record